Molecule: ribosomal RNA, 498 nt
Filed under: uncultured bacterium
Lineage: Bacteria
Description: partial 16S ribosomal RNA
Rfam family: Bacterial small subunit ribosomal RNA
Source: RNAcentral
GAUGAACGCUGGCGGCGUGCCUAAUACAUGCGAGUAGAACGCUGAAGGAAGGAGCUUGCUCUUUCCGGAUGAGUUGCGAACGGGUGAGUAACGCGUAGGUAACCUGCCUGGUAGCGGGGGAUAACUAUUGGAAACGAUAGCUAAUACCGCAUAACAGUAGAUGUUGCAUGAUAUCUACUUAAAAGGUGCAAUUGCACCACUACCAGAUGGACCUGCGUUGUAUUAGCUAGUUGGUGAGGUAACGGCUCACCAAGGCGACGAUACAUAGCCGACCUGAGAGGGUGAUCGGCCACACUGGGACUGAGACACGGCCCCGACUCCUACGGGAGGCAGCAGUAGGGAAUCUUCGGCAAUGGACGGAAGUCUGGCCGAGCAACGCCGCGUGAGUGAAGAAGGUUUUCGGAUCGUAAAGCUCUGUUGUAAGAGAAGAACGAGUGUGAGAGUGGAAAGUUCACACUGUGACGGUAUCUUACCAGAAAGGGACGGCUAACUACGUGC